This 398-nucleotide ribosomal RNA is filed under the name uncultured bacterium. RNAcentral describes it as "partial 16S ribosomal RNA". It matches the Rfam family "Bacterial small subunit ribosomal RNA", at positions 523 to 918 of the family's 1533-position model. The record is from RNAcentral.
AUACGUAGGGUGCGAGCGUUGUCCGGAAUUACUGGGCGUAAAGAGCUCGUAGGUGGUUUGUCGCGUCGUCUGUGAAAUUCCGGGGCUUAACUCCGGGCGUGCAGGCGAUACGGGCAUAACUUGAGUACUGUAGGGGAGACUGGAAUUCCUGGUGUAGCGGUGAAAUGCACAGAUAUCAGGAGGAACACCGGUGGCGAAGGCGGGUAUCUGGGCAGGAACGGACGCUGAGGCGCGAAAGCAUGCGUAGCGAACAGGAUUAGAUACCAUGGUAGUCCAUGCCGUAAACGGUGGGCGCUAAGUGUAGGGGUCUUCCACGACUUCUGUGCCGUAGCUAACGCAUUAAGCGCCCCGCCUGGGGAGUACGGCCGCAAGGCUAAAACUCAAAGGAAUUGACGGGG